Pyrus x bretschneideri (Chinese white pear) is the source of this 2741-nucleotide long non-coding RNA. RefSeq lists it as uncharacterized. The record is from RefSeq and is a predicted model, not a curated record. The transcript has 3 exons. NCBI's taxonomy places the organism in Eukaryota, Viridiplantae, Streptophyta, Magnoliopsida, Rosales, Rosaceae.
CAAUAAAAUUUCAAUUUUGCCCCUUACGGCAAGCCGUUCCCCGUUUAAUGUCUCUCUCUCGCCCUUUCUCGAUCCUCAUCUUUUCUCUGCUAUUGCUUUUAUUUCCAAUUCAAUUUCACUUCCUCCAUUUUUGCAAUCUCUCUCUCUCUCUCUCUCUACCCAAUCUGUUUUUUCAUCUUCAAUUCGAAUUCCACUGGUUCACAAAUCAAUUGAAUCAUCGAAUCUGACAAGCCCGGGCAAGCGGCUCAGUAUCGAGCCUCUGGAGCUCAGUUUCUCCUGUCACAUGGUGAAGACUCCGGCAGCCGGAAGCUGGAGCUGCUAGGCUUGGAGGGCAAAUGACAAACGAGGAGGUCAAGAGCUUGAACAAACGGAUUGUUGGCAAAUUGCUUAGCUGAGCAGGUUGCACCAGCCUUUUCAUGGGCGACUCGCAUUGCCUCACCUACAUUUAGGUGCCUGAUCAUAGUUUUCUGAGACAUUGGUUGACGUGUAAUUGUAGACCUUUGAUACAGAGAGAUUUUUCAAUGUGACCAGUAUACGGGGUGGUACACCACGUGUCACUAUACAAAUGGUGGGAUAUGUGUGCUAAAAAAUGGUGGGAUAUGUGUGCUAAAAUGUUAAUAACUUAGAAAAUAAAAUUUCUCACCACUCCUAUUAAAACACGUGAUGUAUCACUUGUGUUCUCGUCACAACUAAAAUUUUCUCUUUGAUACAAAGCUUUCCGUGUUUGAACGGUGUAACUAAGACCCUUCUUUUUCCGUUUUGUUGUGGUUUGGAUUGGGGAAUGGUGUUUGUCUAAGCAUUUAAAAGGUAAUUGACAUCCGAUGGUUGACAUGAUAAGUGAAAUUAUUUUGGAGCUCAAAUGGUAAGCUUGUGGAUGAAUGGUUGAUAUAAUGGACAAUUUAAAAAGUUCGAUCCUUAUCCUACCUCAACAAAUCUGUUCAUUCUUUUUAGUUCAAACCAAUCAACCCCUUCAGACUUUGGUCUUGGAUCAGGAGGAAUUUUGAUCACAAAUCUAUUUGCCUUAUGGUCACAGUGAUUAAGUUAGAAAAGUUAUUUAUCUUCGGGUUACUUGUUAUCAGCUUUACAUUGCCAACUUAGUAUAGCUUUUCUUAGCAUUACAAUAAUUUUGCGUCCUAUAAUAUUUAGAGUUUUAUUAAGAAAUUUUUGUGCAUGCAUUUUUUGAAAUGUUUAAGACUCACAAAAAUUGACAAUAAAGUUAUGGUAUCUUAUCUAGCAUUUCAGGAUUUUUAAUUGUAAUACAUGUUAACAGGAAGUAAAUUUAAUUAGAACAAACAAUUGUGCUUCAUUAGGCCGAGCCACUAGACAUAGCAUCUUAGUUUCGUUAUGUUCUUUAUACUUUCAAUUUUUAUCACAUUCUUUAUACUUUCAAUUUUCGUCACUUUCUUUAUACUAAUGCUAGUUUUAGCUCAUAAAAGUUGGAAAACUUUGUUCAGUUUUAAAAAUAGCGAUAAUAACAUUGUUCAAUUUAAGAAAUAGUCAGUGUUCAGUUUAAAAAAGCAGAUAUUGGUAUUUUCGUAACUUGUGUUACUAAUGCUCCAAGAAGUGCAUCUGACAUUGUUCUCAUUGAACCAAACUUGAAAAAACAGAUAUUGGUUUUGUCACAGCUUAUGCUACUAAUGCCCCAAGAAGUGCUUCGGAUAUGUUCUCACUGAAACUACAGCAAAAUAAUCCACAUUAUUUCUGAAAUUGAACCCAAAUAACCCACACUAUUUUUGAAACAGUUCCAAACUAACUCAUACUAUUUCUAGAACCACAACAAAAUAACCCACACUAUUUCUGGAAAUGAACAAAAUAAACAAUGUUUUUGAAACAUACUAUUUCUGAAACUAAACCGAAAUAACCCAAUUUCUGAAAUUACAGCAAGAUGACACAUACUAUUUUUGAAAACUAAACCAAAAUAACACACUAUUUAUGAAACUGAAUGAAACAAACUCACACUAUUUAUGAAAAUGAACAAAAUAAACACUAUUUCUAAAACUACAACAAAAUAACGAACAUUUUUCUUGAAACUAAACCAAGUAACUCAUAAUAUUUCUAGAAUUAUAGCAAAAUUACCCACACUAUUUUUGGAAGUGAACAAAAUAAACACUAUUUCUGGAACUACAACAAAAUAACCCACUAUUUAUGAAACUAAACCAAAAGAACUCACACUAUUUCUAGAACUACAGUAAAAUUACACAUUAUUUCUGAAACUGAACCAAAAUGACUCACUCUAUUUCUCGUUAAAUCUUUCUUAUAACCUUCUUAAUGGCACAAUACCCAAACAAGUUUUUAGACUCUCCUCCUUAUCUAUUUCUUUGGCCUUGUCUCAUAACCUCUUCACAGGUUCCCUUCCCCCGGAGGUUGGGAAUUUCCAUAGUCUAAGUGAACUGGAUCUUUCUGAUAACAUGUUAUCUGGAGAACUCCCCAGUAGCCUUGGUGGUUGUGAGAGUUUAGAAGUCCUGCAUUUGCAAGGGAACUUCUUCAAUGGGUCCAUUCCUUUGUCUAUGAGUUCAGUGAGAGGGAUUCAAGAUCUAGACCUUUCUCACAAUAAUUUUUCUAGUGAAAUUCCACAUUUUUUAGAAGGCUUUAGAAUCCUGAAUAAUCUGAACUUAUCGUUCAAUCAAUUUUGGGGAGUGGUACCAACUGGAGGUGUUUUCAAAAAUGCGAGUGCUAUUUCAGUUGUUGGCAACACUAAUCUGUGCAACCCUGUUGCUAAUUUAAAGCUUCCCAAGUGCAAG